Molecule: long non-coding RNA, 2597 nt
Organism: Brassica rapa (field mustard)
Lineage: Eukaryota; Viridiplantae; Streptophyta; Magnoliopsida; Brassicales; Brassicaceae
Source: RefSeq, a predicted model, not a curated record
UCAAUCUAAAGGUCAGAGCUCUCCUCCCUCGAGUCUGAGAAUUAGGUGGAUCCAUGAAUUGUUUGAGUUAGUAAUGGAUAUUUCUAUUGCGGCUGAGUGAGACAGAUGAUGAUGAUGCCUUCUUCUUCUUCUUCUCUCCCACUAGACUGCUUUGCUUGCUUAUUCCAACACUGACGUGACAGCUUUCUUUUUCCCAUUCCCGUUGCCUACAACCCUGAUAAGGUCGGCAUUUGGCGUCUUAUUCUACUCAAAACUCCUCCUUAUGAUGAACCUAGGCUAGGAGGAACGGCAAAGUCCCCAAAAUCUUCAUUACUACUGUUAAUUAGUGGUAAUUAACAUAAAUAAAACAAUGUCUCCUUGUUAAUAAUGAUGCUAAGUCCUUUCUCUUGUUUUACACACACAUGUUCCAGAGGGAGCGGUGAUAAUUGCCCCUAGGACAAUUCAAAAGCUCAAAUGGAAUAGAGUGAGUGAGUGGCACCGCAGAGAAGAUUGACAGCCAGCUUCGGUUUGAGGCUGCAACCUAGAGGGUGGGUAAUCUCCGUUUCUCAUCCACUCGGAGUUGUCGAUGCAAAUCAUUGUCGCCUACGCACCACAUCCGAUCCACGAAUCAAUCUAUAAUACUCAAAAAAUCAGGAAGAAGCAGAUGAUGAAAGCCGAAAAUCACCUCGAGGACUUUUUUUAAAAAAUUUUGUUCUCUUUCCUCACCCUUGUAUUUUCAUGUUUAUUUAAUUUUAGCCACAUUGAUUCUUAACUUAGCCAAACAAUUGGCCCUCUUCACAAUUGUUUUCCCAACACUACGUCUUUUAUUCAAAAUAACCCCCCCCCCAUCCCAUCUUUAUCUUUAUAUAUAAAAUAUGGUUUUCUCUCUCUUGAGGCAUGCCACCUAUGAUUCCACGUCAUAAACUUGGGCUCUGUGAAGACGACAUGUGUCCCGGACAUGAAACUUUGCGUUUCAUUUAUUCAAGAUUAAUAUUCGUUUGGGCUUUUGAUUUCACACAGAUUUCUUUUUAAUAAAGCUUUGUAAAGCCCAUCUUAGAAAAAUAGUAAGUAGACUUGGAACACGUCAUGUUCUGUUUCAAGGGUUGAACCCUUAUUGUUCUCCGCCGUCGUGAUGUCUGUCCACAUUCUCUUGCUUGAUUUAAAGGUUACUCUUAUGCCAGCCACCAUAAGUGCUAAUCGGGUUCCAACCUUAUCUUCAAGCGUCGGCGAGAAAGAAAGCUGAACAAGGCCACCCGCAUACCAUCUUUUAUUCUGAUACCCAAGGAUAUGUAAGACAGCGUUAUUCACAAGAAAUAGGUGAGUUUCCUGGAUCAUUGGCCUAGCGUUGAUUGGAACGUAUCCAACUCAGCAGACUGCCAUUGACAAGUUCAUGGUCUAUGAACUUUCAGUAAAGCUAUCCUUGAGAGGAAGAAGUCUCCUAAUCGACGUAUUGUCGUUUCUCUCCAUCACUCCACCAUGGAAAAACGCUCCAGCUUUUCCGGGGAUGCAAUUCUCAUCAAGGAUAUUGACUUUUUCUGCACCAAAAAGAUCACCGGUAUCAAGAUGGACAAAGUUGGUGUUACGUUUCUUGCUCCAACUGUACCAAGAAGCUUCAACGGACUGUCUCAGCCUUUUCCGUGUGCACUGCAACAAUACUAAUGGUGUUGGUGUCGUCCGAUAUGUAUCUAUAUAACAUGUUGUUUCCAUUCAUUGCACUGAAUGUCCACACAUAUGUAGUUACCCUUGACACUUAAUAUAUAUUUUCUGACUUCUAGAUAUCGUGGGGAGAUGACCAUUGCUGAUGAUAUUGCUGAAGGUCUAUUUGUUGGUUUUGAUGGGGGUAAUGACGAAACUACAUAACAUCAGAACCUAUGAAACUGGUCAUCUAUUGGUACGUGACUAUUCCAUCUCAUAUCAUCGUUUGGUCCGAUUUUGUUCUCAUACACUUGCAAUCAACCAUUGGUCACUUAACCUAGACAGGGUGUGAACCCAGAAGAGACUCAGGUCCCCACCCCCCCCACCCCUUUUAUUGCAGACAUAGUAGUCAAGACCUACACGUUCUAGGUCAAGGUUAGUACCUACAACUUCACAGCAAAUCAUCAAACUUUCACAAUCUCAUUCAUCCUUAGCGAAGGUGACCGUAUGCCACUCUCUGCCUUUGUUGACGAUGUAAGUUUCAUUCUUCAUUCCUUAGUUUGUAAAUAAUUAUAAGUGAUUCGGUUUGAUCAGGGAGCAACAAUGACAAUGGAGAUGAUAUAUGCUUGGUGCUAACUCAUUACCUACUAAGGUGGACAUUGGUAGUAGUUUUCAGGAAGCAUCGACUACAUGAGCAGCUCCAAGUGGUGUUGACACCAAAAAAGCCUCCAGCGCAAGCAGCUUCCAAGAUGGCCAAAAAACACGCAUGGCAUAGGUUAAGAUAAUGAGAGAAUUGGACGCAGUAUUUCCUCUUUCAACAAUGCUAAUGCAUCAAUAUUUUAUUUGAACAAGUAUGUUUUUGUUUAGCCCCUUUUGGGUAAUCUAUGUUUGGUUUAGACGAUUUUUAUAAAAAUGUCUGAGAUUUAAUUGGUUUGUAUAUUUAGUACCAUACGUCAUUUAAUUACUAAGAUUCAGUUUAAAUA